UACGGGGGGGGGCAAGCGUUGUUCGGAAUUACUGGGCGUAAAGGGUGCGUAGGCGGUUCGCUAAGUUGGAUGUGAAAACUAUGGGCUCAACCCAUAGCCUGCAUCCAAUACUGACGAACUAGAGUUCUGGAGGGGGUAGCGGAAUUCCUGGUGUAGCGGUGAAAUGCGUAGAUAUCAGGAGGAACACCGGUGGCGAAGGCAGGUCUCUGGGCCACUACUGACGCUGAGAAGCGAAAGCAUGGGGAGCGAACAGG
RNAcentral lists this ribosomal RNA (254 nucleotides) under uncultured bacterium. Its description in RNAcentral is "partial 16S ribosomal RNA". It matches the Rfam family "Bacterial small subunit ribosomal RNA", at positions 524 to 776 of the family's 1533-position model. The record is from RNAcentral.